CUACGUGCCAGCAGCCGCGGUAAUACGGAAGGUUCUGGCGUUAUCCGGAUUUAUUGGGUUUAAAGGGAGCGUAGGCUGUUUUUUAAGCGUGUUGUGAAAUGUACCGGCUCAACCGGUGAUGUGCAGCGCGAACUGGAAGACUUGAGUGUGUUGUAAGUAGGCGGAAUUCGUGGUGUAGCGGUGAAAUGCUUAGAUAUCACGAGGAACUCCGAUUGCGUAGGCAGCUUACUGUCUCACUACUGACGCUGAUGCUCGAAAGCGCGGGUAUCGAACAGGAUUAGAUACCCUGGUAGUCCGCGCGGUAAACGAUGGAUGCUCGUUGUUGGUAUUUAUAUAUCAGUGACUUAGCGAAAGCGUUAAGCAUCCCACCUGGGGAGUACGCCGGCAACGGUGAAACUCAAAGGAAUUGACGGGGGCCCGCACAAGCGGAGGAACAUGUGGUUUAAUUCGAUGAUACGCGAGGAACCUUACCCGGGCUUGAACUGCCGGCGAACGAUUCAGAGA
This 504-nucleotide ribosomal RNA is filed under the name uncultured bacterium. RNAcentral's name for it is "bacterial SSU rRNA". It matches the Rfam family "Bacterial small subunit ribosomal RNA", at positions 501 to 1006 of the family's 1533-position model. The record is from RNAcentral.